AUUGAACGCUGGCGGCAGGCCUAACACAUGCAAGUCGAACGGUAACAGGAAGCAGCUUGCUGCUUUGCUGACGAGUGGCGGACGGGUGAGUAAUGUCUGGGAAACUGCCUGAUGGAGGGGGAUAACUACUGGAAACGGUAGCUAAUACCGCAUAACGUCGCAAGGCCAAAGAGGGGGACCUUCGGGCCUCUUGCCAUCGGAUGUGCCCAGAUGGGAUUAGCUAGUAGGUGGGGUAACGGCUCACCUAGGCGACGAUCCCUAGCUGGUCUGAGAGGAUGACCAGCCACACUGGAACUGAGACACGGUCCAGACUCCUACGGGAGGCAGCAGUGGGGAAUAUUGCACAAUGGGCGCAAGCCUGAUGCAGCCAUGCCGCGUGUAUGAAGAAGGCCUUCGGGUUGUAAAGUACUUUCAGCGGGGAGGAAGGGAGUAAAGUUAAUACCUUUGCUCAUUGACGUUACCCGCAGAAGAAGCACCGGCUAACUCCGUG
Molecule: ribosomal RNA, 490 nt
Filed under: uncultured bacterium
Lineage: Bacteria
Description: partial 16S ribosomal RNA
Rfam family: Bacterial small subunit ribosomal RNA
Source: RNAcentral